This is a small nuclear RNA of Coregonus clupeaformis (lake whitefish), 107 nucleotides long. The record is from RefSeq and is a predicted model, not a curated record. NCBI's taxonomy places the organism in Eukaryota, Metazoa, Chordata, Actinopteri, Salmoniformes, Salmonidae.
GACCGAUCUGUCGGGGCACAUAUUUAAAUUGGAUUGAUACAGAGAAGAUUAGCAUGGUCUCCGUGCGCAAGGAUGACACGCACUAUCGUGAAGCGUUCCAAUUUUUU